Molecule: ribosomal RNA, 497 nt
Filed under: uncultured bacterium
Lineage: Bacteria
Description: partial 16S ribosomal RNA
Rfam family: Bacterial small subunit ribosomal RNA
Source: RNAcentral
GAUGAACGCUGGCGGCGUGCCUAAUACAUGCAAGUCGAGCGAACGGACGAGAAGCUUGCUUCUCUGAUGUUAGCGGCGGACGGGUGAGUAACACGUGGAUAACCUACCUAUAAGACUGGGAUAACUUCGGGAAACCGGAGCUAAUACCGGAUAAUAUAUUGAACCGCAUGGUUCAAUAGUGAAAGACGGUCUUGCUGUCACUUAUAGAUGGAUCCGCGCUGCAUUAGCUAGUUGGUAAGGUAACGGCUUACCAAGGCAACGAUGCGUAGCCGACCUGAGAGGGUGAUCGGCCACACUGGAACUGAGACACGGUCCAGACUCCUACGGGAGGCAGCAGUAGGGAAUCUUCCGCAAUGGGCGAAAGCCUGACGGAGCAACGCCGCGUGAGUGAUGAAGGUCUUCGGAUCGUAAAACUCUGUUAUUAGGGAAGAACAUAUGUGUAAGUAACUAUGCACAUCUUGACGGUACCUAAUCAGAAAGCCACGGCUAACUACGUG